CGACUCCACGCCGAAACUCCUCCCCCAGAUGUGUUCUUGAGGCACAAGAGGCCUGUGGUCCAGAGCAAAGAGCAAGGACAUGGAAAAUGCUGGAAAAUAGCGGCAGCCGAGCUGGAGCGACGUUCUGCAGGGAGACACGCUCAGGCCGGGAGAAGCAGCGGGUCUCUUGUGGUUGCAGGUCCACUGAACCCCUGCUGUUUCUGAAGAACGAAGCGGGCGGAUUGGCUUUGUUGUAAUCUUUGCAGCAAAAGGCACACUGUCAGAGAAACCUUUUGUUCGAUGCCGGGCUCUGACAGCUUACACUGACACACCAACAGCUGCCCGAGUUGUUGUUCUGUAAACAAGGUUUGGAAGCGCCAUGGAAGCCUUUUGAAGGGAUUUAAAAGGUUGGGUGCCACUGCUUCGACAUUCAAUGACAGAUCCAGCUGUGUGUGGAUCCAGUUAGCGUGAUGGGG
This 455-nucleotide long non-coding RNA is filed under the name Scleropages formosus (Asian bonytongue). RNAcentral describes it as "lncRNA (ENSSFOG00015028003.1)". The record is from RNAcentral. Lineage: Eukaryota; Metazoa; Chordata; Actinopteri; Osteoglossiformes; Osteoglossidae.